Long non-coding RNA from Sorghum bicolor (sorghum), 580 nucleotides. RefSeq lists it as uncharacterized. The transcript has 4 exons. Lineage: Eukaryota; Viridiplantae; Streptophyta; Magnoliopsida; Poales; Poaceae. The record is from RefSeq and is a predicted model, not a curated record.
UUGUCACUGCUUCUUCGGGAAUCAUAACAACCACGAAGUUGGAGUGGGCGCUGCCGCCACCAGCGACUAGAGCCAAACAGUUACUAAAUCCAUCCAACCCGGACGCACCUAUCAACCGCUGGUGAGCUGGUGACGACGAAUCGGCACAGGAAGCUGGUGACGAGCUCGGCACAGGAACAAGACGCUGGUGAGGAAGAGAUUGUUCAUAAUGGAACCUAUAAAAAAUGAAGGUCGUACGCCAUUUGCAGACUUGACAAACUCCAUUAAUGGAGCUGUUCAUACAACAUCAAUUUCAUAAGUGCAAGCUGAUGAACGUGUGCAAUGUAAAAGGGAAAGAGAAAAGGCACGACAUGCAACAAUGACUCAAGAAGAAAGGGAUGAAAAAAAAUAAAAAACGUAGAGAAAAAUAUCAUCAAAAAAGGCAGAAACUUCACUAGCUGCUGGGUCUAGAGGUCCACCGUAUUCUAAUUUUCCGUUUUUGAAUUUAGUAUUACCAUUUUUUUCGUUUAUGUGAGACAUAUAGUAUUGUAUAUCACCUACUUGUAUUAGUCAUUUGUUUGCUUAUUUAGAAUAUAAUGAU